CAAAUUAUUACUUAUAGAAAGUAUUAUUACUUACACUAAUAAGUUAAUCGUGCAAUUCGAUUUAAUUUGA
Molecule: transfer RNA, 70 nt
Filed under: Aphelocheirus ellipsoideus
Lineage: Eukaryota; Metazoa; Arthropoda; Insecta; Hemiptera; Aphelocheiridae
Description: tRNA-Val
Source: RNAcentral